CUUGGUCAUUUAGAGGAAGUAAAAGUCGUAACAAGGUUUCCGUAGGUGAACCUGCGGAAGGAUCAUUACCGAGUUCAUGCCCUCACGGGUAGAUCUCCCACCCUUUGUAUACCAUACCUUUGUUGCUUUGGCGGGCCGCCUAGCUACUGGCUUCGGCUGGUAAGUGCCCGCCAGAGGACCCAAAACCCUGAAUAUUAGUGUCGUCUGAGUAAAAUUUUAAUAUUUAAAACUUUCAACAACGGAUCUCUUGGCUCUGGCAUCGAUGAAGAACGCAGCGAAAUGCGAUAAGUAAUGUGAAUUGCAGAAUUCAGUGAAUCAUCGAAUCUUUGAACGCACAUUGCGCCCCUUGGUAUUCCGAGGGGCAUGCCUAUUCGAGCGUCAUUAUCACCCCUCAAGCUUCGGCUUGGUGUUGAGGCCUGCUGUAAAGGCACCCUCUAAAAUCAGUGGCAGUGCUGUCAGGCUCUAAGCGUAGUAAUUUCAUCGCUAUAGGGUCCUGGUGGAUACUCGUCAAAACCCCCCCAUUUUUUAAUGAUUGACCUCGGAUUAGGUAGGGAUACCCGCUGAACUUAAGCAUAUCAAUAAGCGGAGGAAAAGAAACCAACAGGGAUUGCCUCAGUAACGGCGAGUGGAGCGGCAAAAGCUCAAAUUUGAAAUCUGGCUCUUUUAGGGUCCGAGUUGUAAUUUGUAGAAGAUGUUUCGGGUGUGGCUCCGGUUUAAGUUCUUUGGAAUAUUACAUCAUAGAGGGUGAGAAUCCCGUAUGUGACCGGCAGCCUUCGCCUAUGUGAAACUCUUUCGACGAGUCGAGUUGUUUGGGAAU
RNAcentral lists this small RNA (817 nucleotides) under uncultured Tetracladium. RNAcentral's name for it is "eukaryotic LSU rRNA". The stretch from base 534 to 817 matches the Rfam family "Eukaryotic large subunit ribosomal RNA", at positions 1 to 281 of the family's 3401-position model. The record is from RNAcentral. Lineage: Eukaryota; Fungi; Ascomycota.